This 347-nucleotide ribosomal RNA is filed under the name Wagneriana sp. n. 2 JJCG-2018. RNAcentral describes it as "partial small subunit ribosomal RNA". Lineage: Eukaryota; Metazoa; Arthropoda; Arachnida; Araneae; Araneidae. The record is from RNAcentral.
UACCCUAUUAUAUUAAAAUAAUUUCAGGUAGUACUGAAUUUUCAAGAAAACCUGUGUAGUUUGGCGGCAUUUAAUCACUUUAGAGGAACCUGUCUUUUAAUCGACACCCCACGUUAUUUCUUUCUUUUAUUAACAUCUUAUAUACCUCCAUCUUAAGGAUUAAUAUUUACAUUUUCCCCUAAAUAGAUUUCUAAAAAGUUAGGUAAAGGUGUAGACUAUAUAAAGGAUAAGAUGGGUUACUAUAAAAUUCAUUUAAGGAUUCUAGACAAAAGUUUUAGAUGAAAAAGGAUUUAUAAGUAUUUUAAGAAUAAUAAUCUUCCAUGAAAUUGAUAAACAAUGUGCACACA